RNAcentral lists this ribosomal RNA (329 nucleotides) under uncultured eukaryote. Its description in RNAcentral is "partial 18S ribosomal RNA". It matches the Rfam family "Eukaryotic small subunit ribosomal RNA", at positions 1470 to 1796 of the family's 1831-position model. The record is from RNAcentral.
CCCUUAGAUGUCCUGGGCCGCACGCGCGCUACACUGAUGCAUGCAACGAGUUUAUAACCUUGGCCUGAAAGGUCUGGGUAAUCUUUUGAACGUGCAUCGUGAUAGGGAUAGAUUAUUGCAAUUGUUAAUCUUGAACGAGGAAUUCCUAGUAAACGCGAGUCAUCAGCUCGCAUUGAUUACGUCCCUGCCCUUUGUACACACCGCCCGUCGCACCUACCGAUUGAAUGGUUCGGUGAAGCCUCGGGAUUGUGGUUCUUGCCGCUUUAUUGUGGCGUGACCGCGAGAACUUGUCUAAACCUUAUCAUCUAGAGGAAGGUGAAGUCGUAACA